Molecule: long non-coding RNA, 2122 nt
Organism: Carcharodon carcharias (great white shark)
Lineage: Eukaryota; Metazoa; Chordata; Chondrichthyes; Lamniformes; Lamnidae
Exons: 3
Source: RefSeq, a predicted model, not a curated record
AGAGUUUCGGCUUCAUAAUCAGCAGGAAAUGGCUGUGGAAUCAGUGAGGAAGAACACAAGUGUUGUGAGUGUGCACUUUUGGGAAGACUGUGCCGCUGGAAGCAGGAAAGAAAAACAAACAAUCGCUGACCCUCCAAGAAGCUUUUGAGAAAUUUAGGAAGAAGCGUCAGUGGCUUACGCACGCGUGUACUCAUCACACCAUGCAGUGAUCCAAAUCGUGCCAAUAAUUUUCUGAGAUAUUCAACUCUUCUUUCUGAAACACAAAGAUGCUACCUGACCUGAGCACUUCCAGCAUUUUCUGUCAUAUAUUACUUUUAUGUCUGAGCAAUAAAAUGCUGUGGAUUACCAAGGAUAAUGAAUUUUUGUGCAGCUCACCAUCAAAAAGUAACCACAUAAACCCCUUGUUCAGUGAGGAUACAUGUCAACUAACUAUAAAUGAGCUGACUGCUGUUAAUAGAAUCAUACCUAUUGUAGUUGAAAACAUAAAUCAGAAUGUACUGCUAAGUGCUAUUAGUACAGAAAGUAUAUUUACUAUGCUACCUUUGCUGUACCGUAUCAUAUUACCUGCUAUUCCAUUGUUCACCUAAUUGUGCUACGUGUCUCAAUUUUACAAUAAAUGAGAAAAGAAUAUUCCACACCCCAAUUUUAAUUUUCUGUUCAUGAUCCUGAUUUUACAUAUGGCAAGAUGGUGGAGAGUUUCAGGAAAUUAUUUCUCUCUCUCCUUUUCAAUGGUGUGAUUCCCUUCAGCCCUUCUCUCUGGUAGAUGCUUCCCUGAAUCAAUUUAUUUUAGUUUGUUCAUAUUUUAUUUCAUGUAUGUAUUGAUUGUUCUGGGACUUAGUGCUAAGCUCUUUACUGAAUAAUGCAAUCUAGUGAAUCCUGUUUGCUUUUACAAUGAUGUCUUGGCUGUUAUUAUUCACUUCUGAUGCAUUGCUUUUAUGGUUCUAUGCUAAUUGUUUGUAUCUGUAUCUUGCACUAAUAUGUAUUUGCAUAAUUUAUAAUUUCAGGAAUACUAUAAGUUCCAUUAAUAUACACUAUAAUAAUUAAUAUUUAGUGUCCAAGUUCUAAUAUCUCUCUCUUUAGUCAUUUUUUUGACUUUUUUGUUGCAUGAUUCCUGUAGCUAGAGACUAAAUACUCUCAUUUCAAUUGAGUGUCAGGUUUGCCAAUUUUGAGAUAUCAUCUACUUACUUCAACCCUUCAUGUCUGUAGCUGAAUCUUUCUCACCUACUAAUUCAAUCCAUGGGUCCAGCAGGCAUACAGCUCAAAUUCUGCCCUCAGUUUAUGAUGCCAUCUGACCCCUUAAUCCCCACUGUUUUGCAAUGCAAAUGUGUUGUCUGGUAAGUUCAAUUAAACCUGCAAUAAUUAGUCAUUUUGUGGACAUAGCAACAUAUCAGAGGACUGAUAGCAGAUGUUAAUUAGCCUCACUGUGUGUCUGCUUCACCAUGGAGUACAACCACAUUUGGACAAGUAAUUUGUUUUUUCAUUAGUGGUGUCCACUUUCCUGAGGAUGGCACCAUUUAAUGAAAAAGGACAACUUCUGCUGGCAAAUCAGUUGACCAAAAACAAAAUAAACCAUCACCUUCAACCCUCUCCCCCCACUCAAACAACUUAUUUGCCUCCCACCUAAAACUGAAGCAGUACAAUGGGUAUCCAGGAGUGAUUACCAGGGAUCUUGAUGACAACAUAAACCAAUCUUAAAGGCAAUUAGGGAUGAGCAAUAAAUGCUAGCCUAGCCAUCAGCGCCCACAUCCUAUGAAUGAAUAAAAAAAACCGAGAAUGAAGUACAAUGCACCAUAACCAUCACCUAAACCCAAAAUGAGCCUGCCAUCUUGCAAUCACAGUGGUGGAUUUUUAAUUUUUUUAUUAUGCAACAGUAGAUCUCCCUUAGUAUUAUACACAGAGAUAAUCUUGGUUCUCAAGCAUGUUUAUGAUGUUUAACUGCUAAGCUGACGCGUGCUUUUGAGCACAUUGCUUUAAAUAGCUAAAUCCAUUACUUAUAAACUAUUGAGGUUAAUCAUCGGGCAUUUGUAACAGUUUGGAAAUUUCAGGCUCUGGGUUAAUGACUAGCUUACUUGUUUUUUUAAAGCCGUGGUUUGUAAUAAAGAGAAUAUCUGCUUUGUAGAAA